This is a long non-coding RNA of Solanum tuberosum (potato), 4162 nucleotides long. RefSeq lists it as uncharacterized. Lineage: Eukaryota; Viridiplantae; Streptophyta; Magnoliopsida; Solanales; Solanaceae. The transcript is spliced from 3 exons. The record is from RefSeq and is a predicted model, not a curated record.
AAGAAGCCAUUUUUUCCCUUUCUUCUUCCCUUCGUUACAACCAAGAAAGUUGAAACAAUAAAUUUUCAUCUAUCUCCGAUCACCCAUUUUCAUCUUCUCCGAUCCCAUCCUUGUUUUCCCUAUUGCUACAGUUACAGAAAGCAGAGAAAUCAACCAACAAAAUUCAUUUUUCUAACUCAAACCCUUGAUUUUACUCCCAAUUUCAGUUCAAUUUCAAAUUCUAACUCUACCCGUAGCUCCGGUUCAAUCUAGAAUCAUUUUCAUCCCCUGCCAUGAAUAUAAGACGAGGUAGAUCAGACAGUAAAUAGUCUUUGUAGCAGGUAUCCAGUAAUUUCAAUGAAGAACAGUCUGCAUUGCUUUCUUCAUGUAAAUUUAGCGAAAUUCGAGUGAAAAGUUUCGAUUUUGAGAACAAAAAUGUUGAUUUUAAAAGUAUAAAUUCGAGAAGGUGGGUUGUUUCUGAUGGAAUUAUUUGUAUAAACAAAGAGUUUACUUCUGAGGCUUUAAUUGGGUUAACGGCUGGAUUUACGUCUGACUCGUUAAGGGAUGACGAAAUUGAAGUUUGGGUUGUUUAUGCGGUUGGCGGGGUGGAAUAGUAUAACUACAUUUUAAUUAGAAAUCACAUUAUUUCCCGAUGGCGCUAAAAUGUGUGGAUUUGGGUGACGAAAGAUGUAUUUGUUGAUGUUAUAUGUGAACACCGUAGUGGGUUAUUGGAUUCUACAUUACUUGUUAUGAUAUGGGUAUUUUAAUUUUUGGAUGGCUUUGACAGCUGAGCCAAGUAAGGGUAGAGUGAUUGUUAUCGGGGGCAUGACUUGCUGGGUUGGCGGCUGCAAGGAAACUGAUGUCAUUUGGCUUUGAAGUUGCGAUUUUGGAUGGAUGAAAGCGUGUAGGUGGAAGGGUGUACAAAAAAGAUGGAAGGGGGAAUAAGGUGACAACUGCUAAUUUAGGAGGGAUUGUUUUGACAGGUACACUAGGGAAUCCGACUGGUCUAUUGGUACGACAAUUGUCAUAUACAUUUCAUAAAGUGAGAGACCAAUGUCCAAUCUAUUGUGCUGAUGGAAAGCCUGUAGAGGAGAGGCAUUGGGGACUUCGCGAGAGGAUUUUGUUCUAUAGCUAUACAACAGUUGCUGGUUGGCCCUUAUUGUUAGCUCUAGUCGCAGGAGAAGCUGCCAUACAAGUUUGAGCUAACGGCCCCUACUGAUGCAGUGAAAAAAGUUCUUCAAAUUUUAGAAGGUAAUUAAAUGUCAUGUUCCAUAUUAACUUAGCUUUCAAUAUACCAAAAUCUUAUCUUUCUUUCUUUUGAAUAGCAUAUUAUUUGGUAGCCAAGUAACAAGUAAAGAAUAAAAAACUCCACGAGCAGAAAAAUAAGAACGAAGUUGCUCGGGAAGUGAAAAUUCAUGUUAUCUUUGUCUAGAGUUAAGCGGUUGAAAGAGUAUCAGUGCCAAUCCCAUUUCAUAUUCGUUAAGUUUCAGUUUGAAGCGUGUAUGUAUUGUCUUGUUUGAGGUAGGAUCUUGCUUUGUUUAACUUUCUGUCUCAACUAUAUACUUCAGAGAUGAUUUCAUCAUCUGUCGUUUAUGCUGCUACGUAGGCAUAUAUAUAUAUUUGAAAAUGCAUCGAUUAUAGUAAAGAUGAAACUUAUGUUUCUUAUGGUUAUGGAGCUAAUGUAUUGAUAAGAUUUGGGCAUUAUUAUCAAGCAUAAAUGAACCACAAGGAAUUAACGUCCCAGAGCCCAUCCGUUUAGAUUUGGUUCCUACUCCAUCUUUGUGCUAUCCAGCCACCAUGCAUGGAUCAUUUCUCACUGGGCUUAGAGAAGCUGCAAAGAUGGCCUAUCACACAGGUAUUAGAACAUUGCAUUUGAAGAUUGAGAAGAGAAAAACCGAGAUAAGGUGUUGUAAAGUCAAGAGUAGCCACUGUCAAGUAAAAAAUAGUCGGAUAUAAGUCCUUCCCCACCUCUCUUUAGCUUCUUCUUUCCUAUUUCUUUUUCUUGUUCAGAGUUUCAGCUUCUUCAUGAAUCCCCUUUUUAACUUGUUUCUCAGGAUGGCUAAAAACUUUGGCAGAGGCAACGGAACCACUUUAUCUGCUGGGGAUAUUAGAACUAACGUAGUAGCGAGUUGCUUUAGCUCUACGCCACUGGCAAGUAAGAAAUUGGCCCUUCUAAAGGGAUCUCACUUCCUCCAGGUUUGAAUAUUCUCGUAAUGACAACAUUGGGUCUAAACCACUGGGUAGUGUGGUUAUGGAUCUGUGCUUCUAGUCCUGAGAAAACUUCUUGCCUGAGCUUGUUUGCCUUAUUAAAAAGUGAGUUAUAAGCAACCUCCACUUUUGUAUCCAAAUACUCGUCUACGGGAUUUCCAUUAGCACGGUAGAGUGGGCAUUGGUCUCUCACCUUAUGAAGUGUAUACGACAACUUUCGUUCCAACAGACCCAGUGGAUUCCCUAGUGUACCUGUCAAAACACUCCCUCCCAAAUCAGCAGCUGCCACCUUAUUCCCUCAUUCCAUCUUUUUUUUGUAUACACCCUUCCACCUACACACUUUCGUCCCUCCAAAACAGUAAACUCAAAACCAAAUAACAUCAGUUGUCUCACAGCCGCCAAACCAGCAAGACCUGGCCCGACAACAGUCUCUCCGCCCUUUCUUGGCUCAACUGGAAUCUUGUCCUUAAUUGUCAAUGCCACCCCAAAAUUAAUAUAUCCAUAUGAUAACAGGUAGUUCUAUGCAGAAUCUAAUAGCUCAUUACAGUGUUCAGGUAUAACAUCAACAAACAUAUCUUCUGUCACCCAAAUCGACACAUUUUCAUGCCAUUUGGUAAUAAUAGGAUUUCUGAUUAAAAUGUAGUUAUCAUGUUCUAUCCCGCCAACUUCAGAAACAAACCCUAAUUUCACUUCCGCCAGUCGUUAACGACUCGGAUGAAAAUCCAGCAGUUAAUGCAAUUAAAGAAUUAGAAGUUGGCUCUUUGUUUAUUGAAAUAUUCUCAUCAGCAACAACUCGCCUUCUGGAAUUUGUACUUUUAAGCACCUAAGAAUUAACAUUUGUGUUUGCGAAAUUGGAACUUUUCACUCGGGGUUUGCUAAACUUAUCUAAAAAAGAUGAAGACAGAAAUGCAGACUGUUCUUCAUUGGCACUACCGAGAAAAUUACUGGAUACUUGGCACAAAGGCAGUUUACUGCUUGGCCUACCUUGUCUUCUCCUCAUGGGAAGGGAUGGAAAUGCUUCGGGAUUGAACCGGAAUUAGGGUUAGGAUUAGAAUUUUGGAAGUGAAUUGAAACUGGGAGUAAAAUUAAUGUUCAGGUUUGAGUUAGGCAAAUGAACUGGGAAUUGUUUCACUAGUACUAUGCAAACUUUCGAUUGAGCUGCUAUUUUUGCAAGAAUCGCGGAUGCUGGCUCUCUUAGAGUCAUGAGCACUGAUGUCACGGAGAAAAGAAGUUGUAGCAGAGUAGCAACAAUGCCCGGUUUUAUCAGACAUUGAACAUUUGCUUUUGAGGCAGACAAGUUGUGCACCGCGUUAAGAGACGGUUGCUUAGCUUCUAGGCUCUCAAUGGCGAACAUUUUGACUAGCGGUUUGACGGCUCCAUCUUGUCCCAGAUGUACUCGAGCACUUGCCUUGGGCCAAGUACUGUACAUGUUUUCGGACGGUAAGAGCUUCAGUCCGCUGUUUGAUUGCUUCCAUAUAUAUCAGGCUUAAACAUUCUUCUCAACUACUCAACACACUCCAAAACUAGUUGUUGAUAAGGGAGAACUUUCUGCCUCUUCAUAACGCGCACAAUACAAACAUCAAUUGCAUGCAUAACGUCUAUGAGAACUAUAUAUAUUUUAUAUGAUUGCGUUAUAAUAAUAUAUAGCUCUGUUUUAAAAAGCACCUAGAUUUAUGUCAGUGCGAUUACAAUUAACAUAUAUCUGAUUAUCAACCUUGAUGUUGUGGCUUGCGGGUUAUAGGAGACAAUCGACUCUUUUGCUCAUUGUCUGCAAGGACUAUACAUAUUUCAUAGCUCGAUCAAUCGAUCAGUGGGCUGAAAUCAGUUGAAGAAACGACUCGAUUUAAUAGGUUAUCUAAGUUCUUGGUGAAGCUCUCUCUUCCUCUCGUCUGAGUGAGGGAAAACUGAAAUUAGUUCAUAAAAACUAUAUACAUUCUACCGUCCAUAAACGGCUAUAAGAUUAGACUUGGUUUCA